RNAcentral lists this ribosomal RNA (253 nucleotides) under uncultured bacterium. RNAcentral describes it as "partial 16S ribosomal RNA". It matches the Rfam family "Bacterial small subunit ribosomal RNA", at positions 524 to 776 of the family's 1533-position model. The record is from RNAcentral.
UACGAAGGGGGCUAGCGUUGCUCGGAUUUACUGGGCGUAAAGGGCGCGUAGGCGGAUCGACAAGUUGGGGGUGAAAUCCCGGGGCUCAACCUCGGAACUGCCUCCAAAACUGCCGGUCUUGAGUUUGGGAGAGGUGUGUGGAACUCCGAGUGUAGAGGUGAAAUUCGUAGAUAUUCGGAAGAACACCAGUGGCGAAGGCGACACACUGGCCCAAUACUGACGCUGAGGCGCGAAAGCGUGGGGAGCAAACAGG